This 199-nucleotide small RNA is filed under the name Massilia sp. Root351. Its description in RNAcentral is "Proteobacterial sRNA psRNA2". It matches the Rfam family "Proteobacterial sRNA psRNA2". Lineage: Bacteria; Pseudomonadati; Pseudomonadota; Betaproteobacteria; Burkholderiales; Oxalobacteraceae. The record is from Rfam by way of RNAcentral.
GGGUUACUCCUUGGCGCUUUCGCGCUGGUUUAAUAAAGAUUCGCACCUCUAUCAAACCGGGUAACCCCACCCUUGGCAAGGCCUUACUGUCAGAUCAGAUUGGAACUACUACAAAUAAGUGGAUUUUCCGGUCCGGUUCAGUCACCAGCUUUUGCGCAAAUCGCACAGAUUAGCACUCACAGGCUAGGCUAUACUGUAU